CCUACGGGAGGCAGCAGUGAGGAAUAUUGGUCAAUGGACGCAAGCCUGAACCAGCCAUGCCGCGUGCAGGAUGACGGCCCUAUGAGUUGUAAACUGCUUUUGUACGAGGGUAAACCCCGAUACGUGUAUCGGGUUGAAAGUAUCGUACGAAUAAGGAUCGGCUAACUCCGUGCCAGCAGCCGUGGUAAUACGGAGGAUCCGAGCGUUAUCCGGAUUUAUUGGGUUUAAAGGGUGCGUAGGCGGUUUGAUAAGUUAGGGGUGAAAUGUCGGGGCUCAACCCCGGAACUGCCUUUAAUACUGUUGGACUAGAGAAUGGUUGCGGUAGGCGGAAUGUAUGGUGUAGCGGUGAAAUGCUUAGAGAUCAUACAGAACACCGAUUGCGAAGUCAGCUUACCGAACUAUAUCUGACGUUGAGGCACGAAAGCGUGGGUAGCAAACAGGAUUAGAUACCCUUGUAGUC
RNAcentral lists this ribosomal RNA (460 nucleotides) under uncultured bacterium. RNAcentral's name for it is "partial 16S ribosomal RNA". It matches the Rfam family "Bacterial small subunit ribosomal RNA", at positions 338 to 795 of the family's 1533-position model. The record is from RNAcentral.